RNAcentral lists this ribosomal RNA (464 nucleotides) under uncultured bacterium. RNAcentral describes it as "partial 16S ribosomal RNA". It matches the Rfam family "Bacterial small subunit ribosomal RNA", at positions 29 to 507 of the family's 1533-position model. The record is from RNAcentral.
ACGAACGCUGGCGGCGUGCUUAACACAUGCAAGUCGAACGGAAAGGCCCCUUUGUGGGUACUCGAGUGGCGACCGGGUGAGUAACACGUGAGUAACCUGCCCUUGACUUCGGGAUAACUUCAGGAAACUGGGGCUAAUACCGGAUAGGAAUCCUUGCUGCAUGGUGGGGGUUGGAAAGCUUCGGCGGUUUUGGAUGGACUCGCGGCUUAUCAGCUUGUUGGUGGGGUAGUGGCUUACCAAGGCUUUGACGGGUAGCCGGCCUGAGAGGGCGACCGGCCACAUUGGGACUGAGAUACGGCCCAGACUCCUACGGGAGGCAGCAGUGGGGAAUAUUGCACAAUGGGCGGAAGCCUGAUGCAGCAACGCCGCGUGCGGGAGGACGGCCUUCGGGUUGUAAACCGCUUUCAGCAGGGGCGAAGCUUGUGGUGACGGUACCUGCAGAAGAAGCACCCGCUAACUACGUG